GAAAUUAAUUCUUGGAUUUAAUAUUAUAUAACAAGAUUUAUAUUAGAACUUACAUUUUAAAUCUUAAAACAACCGCUAGAAGUGUUUUUUUUUCUAGCUUUGCAUCGCUUACAAAAACCGAAUAAACACACGCCGACCAUGCAUUUGGGCGAUUCACGCUCUGUGGGCUCCGUAAUGGCGGACAUAAGCGCCGUUUCCUGACAUGACGUUGUUAUUUCCUAUUGGUAUGAGCAGACGCGCACGUUAAUCUUGUUGAUUGAGUAUAACUUAAACGCAGGCAAUUUCUUUGUUCACAAUUUGAGUUCAAAUCAUAGGCAUCGCUAAUGUAUUUAGAUGUCGUUUUAGUUUUACAGAAUAAUAAAACCAUUCUAAUUUUCAGUGUGUUUUGACAAUGGAAAAGUUAAAAUUGUUUUUCGUGCUUUUGAUAACUUUUAGCUCAUCUGUCGAGUUGGUAUUUGGGUUUCCCGGAUUACGUAAGGGUGUGACCCGACAAGGUAGCAGUAACAGAGCCUACAAUAUCGACACAGAAGAAAUGGAAAUUGAUGACAUUCAACGAAUAAUGGAUCUAAUGAAAGUCAGAUCUGCUUAGAGAUCAGUUGAUUGUUCUUGAGCUGCAAAAAGAGAAUAAUAUUUAUUUCGUUGGAAUAAUAAUAAACCAAAGUUACAAUACCACUAAUGUUAGUUUUGUUGCUGUAUAUAUCUGUUACCACAUAUCAUUUAUGAAUAAAAAGAUCUUGCAGACAAGGUUAAUAAAAACAAAACUUAUUUUCG
Non-coding RNA from Ciona intestinalis (vase tunicate), 771 nucleotides. NCBI's taxonomy places the organism in Eukaryota, Metazoa, Chordata, Ascidiacea, Phlebobranchia, Cionidae. The record is from RefSeq and is a predicted model, not a curated record.